UGAGUAAUGUCUGGGAAACUGCCUGAUGGAGGGGGGAUAACUACUGGAAACGGUAGCUAAUACCGCNUAACGUCGCAAGACCAAAGAGGGGGACCUUCGGGCCUCUUGCCAUCAGAUGUGCCCAGAUGGGAUUAGCUAGUAGGUGGGGUAACGGCUCACCUAGGCGACGAUCCCUAGCUGGUCUGAGAGGAUGACCAGCCACACUGGAACUGAGACACGGUCCAGACUCCUACGGGAGGGCAGCAUG
This 247-nucleotide ribosomal RNA is filed under the name uncultured bacterium. RNAcentral describes it as "partial 16S ribosomal RNA". It matches the Rfam family "Bacterial small subunit ribosomal RNA", at positions 107 to 348 of the family's 1533-position model. The record is from RNAcentral.